This 396-nucleotide ribosomal RNA is filed under the name uncultured bacterium. Its description in RNAcentral is "partial 16S ribosomal RNA". It matches the Rfam family "Bacterial small subunit ribosomal RNA", at positions 523 to 918 of the family's 1533-position model. The record is from RNAcentral.
AUACGUAGGGGGCAAGCGUUAUCCGGAAUUACUGGGCGUAAAGGGUGCGUAGGCGGUUUAUCAAGUCAGGGGUGAAAGGCUACGGCUCAACCGUAGUGAGCCUCUGAAACUGGUGAACUUGAGUGUAGGAGAGGAAAGUGGAAUUCCCAGUGUAGCGGUGAAAUGCGUAGAAAUUGGGAGGAACACCAGUGGCGAAGGCGACUUUCUGGACUCCAACGGACGCUGAGGCACAAAGGCGUGGGGAGCAAACAGGAUUAGAUACCCUGGUGGUCGACGCCGUAAACGAUGAGUGCUAAGUGUUGGGGGGUUUCCGCCCCUCAGUGCUGCAGCUAACGCAUUAAGCACUCCGCCUGGGGAGUACGGUCGCAAGACUGAAACUCAAAUGAAUUGACGGGU